AGGGAGGCAAAGAGUGAAGGUGCUCGUGGCGGAGGUCGUGGUGGGCGAGGAUAUGGACGUGGACGUGGUGGUAGUGGUAGUGGUGGAUACAGACGUGAUUUUGCAAAUGACGAGAACUUAUUCAGCAAUAAUGCUGUACCUGAAGAUGGAGAGAGUGGAAAACCCUCUGAAAGGUGUGGUUAUGGUGGUCCUCGACCUUACCGUGGUGGUCGCCGUGGUGGUUUCAGUAAUGGGGAAGAUGCAGAUGGGGAGCAACCUCGCAGGUUGUAUGAACGCCGUAGUGGGACAGGGCGCGGGUAAAAAAGGAAGCUUUUGUUUAACAUUAGCUUUGAUAUAUUCUGCAUAUCGGUAUUUUAGCCAAGUCUCAAAGCUGAUGUUUUUGUGUUCUGUUCAUGUCUGCAGAAAUGAGCUCAAACGUGAAGGCUCUGGUCGUGGUAAUUGGGGAACUCAAACUGAUGAACUUGCUCAGUGAGUUAUCUCUAGUAGUUACAAUCACAACCUUCAAUUUUAUUGUAAAUCAAUAAAAUAUCACUUUGUUUCACUCUUCUUCCCUUAUUAUAAUCAUAAAAUGAAAAUGAAAUAAUGUAUUUUUAUUGUUAAGGGUGACUGAAGAAGUUGCCAAUGAAGGUGAGAGGAAUUUAGGUGAUGAAAAGCCAGCAGGAGAAGAGGAUGCUAGAGAUGCUAACAAGGAGAGUGCUUCAAACGAGCCUGAAGAAAAAGAGCCCGAGGAUAAGGUAAAGGGUUAUUGACGUCUGCAACUUUUGUUAAUUAUAUAUGAUAGCUGCUAAUUUGGCUAUUACUUUGUUCAACCUUUCAUAUUGCAUUUUUAUAGGAGAUGACUCUUGAGGAGUAUGAGAAGGUGCUGGAAGAGAAGAGGAAGGCUCUGCAGGCUCUCAAGAUCGAGGAAAGAAAAGUAGAUGCCAAGGAGUUUGAAUCUAUGCAACAGCUUUCAAACAAGAAAAGUAAUGAUGAGGUCUUCAUCAAAUUGGUAAGACCCUUCGAUUCACUUUGAGAAAUUCAUCGUUAAUGACUCCAUCUUAUUAUUGGGAAAAUAUGUAGUAUUAAUCACUUGUUCCCUAUAAUUGGCUUCUACAGGGAUCUGAUAAAGAUAAGAGAAAAGAGGCUUAUGACAGAGAAGAGAGAGCAAAAAAGGUACUUUUACUUAUUUUUAUUGAUCUGUGUCAUAUAAUUUGCCUUCCCUUUUCCAGUUUGAACCUCAUUUGUGUGAUUAUUCUGUAUUUAAGGACCUUAGUUUAUACUGAUGUCAAAGUCCCUUGAUUUAAGAAGUAGUCCUAUCUCUUCCAUGAUUAAAGCUUGCAUAUGUGCUUUCUCCUUUUACCGGUUUGUGCAAGUUUAUCUAUGGCUUGCAUUUAUAUUUUUUGCUGGCACGUACUGAUGAUCCCUAUCCAUGUGGUGGUGGUGGGUAGUCUGUCAGCAUUAAUGAAUUUCUGAAGCCCGCUGAAGGGGAGAGGUACUAUAAUCCAAGUGGACGUGGGCGUGGUCGUGGGCGAGGUUCAAGAGGAUUCGGUGGAGGUAAUGCAGCAAGAGAUGUGGCGGCACCAUCCAUUGAAGACCCUGGGCACUUCCCAAUUCUUGGGGGCAAGUGAAGAAGGGAGAUUCCUUUAGAACCCGACAUAUGAUAUCCAUGGGUUUUAUUGGAUUUUUAGGUACUUUUAAAUUUUGGGCUGGGAAUAAGAUAAAUAAUCUGGUUUCCUGUCGCCAAAGGAUCUCUGAAUUUUAUGUUGUAAAAUGUAUGUUUCAGGGUUUUUCUCUCUUUUUGUUUUUUGGGGGUAUUGCCCCCACUAUUGUUAUGCUUUGAUCGUACUGUCACUGCUCACUGCUCACUACUCAGUUUUCUUUUGGAAUAGAUGGAACUAUUUUGCUACUUGUUUUCGAGCACUUUAGCAGUGUUUGCACCUGUUGCUCCCCAGAAUCUAAAGAUGAAUUAAUAGCGAUGCAGGGGAAGUAAAGCCUAAGAUUCUCUAUUGUAGGGUAAUUCGAUUCGACUCAAAAAAAUCGAAAAAAAUUUUGAAUUUCGAGAUAAACGAAUCGAGUUAUUCGAAUCAACUCGAAUUUUUUUUUCAAAUUUCGAGUUCAAAUCGAGUUGAGUUUUCGAAUUUGAAUAAUUCGAAUAAUUCAAAUAAUUCGAAUAUCAAACUAUAAUAUUUUCUUUUACCUUAAACUUUUAAAUUUUUUUACUUUUCUUUUAAAACUUUUAUUCUUUCCAACUUACUCCCAAAAAUUUUACUCCCCUCCUCUCCUAACUCCUCAAUUUACUCAGAAUUCAUUUCCUACUAAAAUUUUACUCUCCUAUCUAUUUUUUCUCAAAAUUUUACUCUAAAAAACUCUCAAAAUCUUUUAUUUUUCCCUAAAAUUUUUACUUCCUCUCACUUUUUUUCUAAAACUUUUAUUCCCUCUCCAUUCCACCUCUAUCUACCCCAAAUCUUCCCCUUUCAAUUUUUUUUUAAAUAUUUUCCCUCUAAAAUUUUGUUCUACUAUUUACUUUCCCUCAAAUUUUUAUUCCCCAAAAUUUUUUAUUUUCUCCCCAAACUUUUACCCCUCUCCCUUUAGUCUCAAAUAAAAAAUCAAAAUUAUCAAAAAGAAAUCACUAAACAUAAAUAGUAAUAAUUUUAUUUAUAUCUACUUUUUAUAUUAUUAAAUUAAAUUUCACAUUUUAUAUUAUUUAUAUUAUUGAAUUGUUUAGUCAUAUUGAAUAUUUAUAUUAAAAUUGAAUUAUUCAUUAUGCCAUAAAAUAUUCGUGUUAAAAUUUUAUAUUGGUAUCAAUUUCACAUUUUAUUUUUAAAAUAACUUUUAUUAAAAAAAUCAUAUUUUUACAUUUAAUAUAUUUUUUAAUUUCAAAAUACAUAGUGACAAGAAUCUGAAGAUAAUUGAAACAACUAAGCAAGCAAAGAAGCUAACUAGUAUAUAAAAAAUUAAUAAAUAAAUUAUAAGGUGAUGAAAGCUAAUAAAAAUUUUGAUUAAGGUGGACAAAUUUUAUUACAAUAGGUGAUAGUGGUUACAAGGACCCAAAAUUAUUUUUUAAAAUUUAACUCGAACAAAUAUAUUUGAUUCGAUUCGAAUUCCAUCUCACUCGACUUGAUUCGAGAAAACUUCAGAUAAAGUUAGGAUGAUAAAAUAAGAUUCGAAAACUUGAUUAACUCGAAAAUUUUCGAUUCGAUUCGAUUCGAUCGAAUGCUCACCUCUACUCUACCGUACUUCUGCCAUGGCUGCAUUGCAUUGUCUCGACUCGUCUUCCAUGAGAUGAUAUGAAGCCAAAUGCUUUUAGAUCUUAAUCGUCAAUGCAUUUGAACAUCUGAUUACUGUCUUCAAAUUAUAUUGUUUUACAUAAUCUUUAAAUCAUAUUGAAACGAUUAGUGUAAAAGCAUAGACGCAAGCAGCGGCAUCAGCAGCGACAUUGAAGCUUAGAAAGUUGGAUCAGAUUAUUGUCGGAUUUGCGUCAUGAAUCUGCCUUGUUUGCUAUUGUAAGUUGUACGUUUCAGGGAAGGGUUGCGUGGUUUAGAUAACAUAUGAAUCAAAUUUUUAUUGUUGGCUUACCUACUCGAAUUUGAAGUUAAAUAUUUAAAAUAUGUGAAUCAAUUUUUAAUUAUAUCUAUUUAUUACACAGACAGUUUUGAUGUGAUGAGUAAUAAAAUAUUUCUUUUAAAUUUUAUCAUAUUAUUCGUUUUUUUAAUACGUUACUUGUCGAUUGUUCAAGUAGUAUGUACAUGUAUGUUUAAACUUUGAUCUACAUAUUUUAAAUACGUUUUAUAUCAAAUUUGACUUAGAAUUUAAUGCUUAAUCUGACAAUUAAGUUAAUAGAAAGAUUUUAUUAAUACGAUACUAGUAUUUUGACUACUAAAUUAAAAAUAUGAUGAAAGUUAAAUAUUUAACAAAAGCAAUAGAAAAUCAUGGAAUAAAAUAAGAAUAUGUAUUAAUUGUAACCAUGAAGAAUAUUGACAUUAUAGCCAAUAACCUUGUCUAAAUGGGAAAGUCAAAUCUCCUAAACAAAAUUUAAAUAACAAAUCACCUACGAAACUAAAACAAUCCCUGCAAUAUUUGUUGAUACAAAUAAUUAACAAAGAGGAGAUGGAGGGGAGUGUCAAUUCACUUGUGACAAGAGAAGGGGAAUGGGAGAAAGUUUGGUUGAUGUUUAGGGUUUUUGUCUACAAAAGGAGAGAUUAUUGGUCUCUCGUGCACUUGGAUUAUAUAUAGGGGUCACCCAUUGUAUUGUUGUGCCACGUAGCCGACAGCAUUAGGGUCUGUAUGGUUAUGUGGUCCUGCUCAGACAUACAGUGUACUAUGAGGUCCUACUCAAACAUUCUUAUCCUUGACAUUUUACGAGGUUGUUACAUCUCAAUGGUCUCCACGAAGGGUAUACAACGAGUGAUCCCCACGAAGGGUGCGUAGUGGGUUGUUUCUAAGUUGGUUUGGACAGAAAAUCUGCAGACCAUCCUAAGCGAAGGGUCGUUACGAACAGUCCCUAGCGGAGGAUUGUCAACAGGUUGUUCCGUACCUUGCCAUGUGUCAUGCUCUUGUAAGGGUAUAAUAAUUGCCUCCUAGGCAAGAGGUAGUUUACAAAGUGGCCUGCCUUGAGACUAUUUAGUCAAUAGCUAUAACGGAGAGUUGCCAAAGUAAGCCAUGUAAUGGAAGGGGUGGAAGAUGAAAAGUUGUGAUGCUUAUGCUUAUUGAGAACGCUUUAGGAAAAAGGGGGUGCACUGAAUAUUCUAGAAAUUGUGCAUUAAUGGUGGAGCAUUGCAACUAUUCUUUGGGAAAUGACGCCAAUGAUGGGGUAGACUUUGUGUCCUUUUGUAGGACACGGUCUAGUUGGGUUGCUCCGUGAAUUAUUAGGUCUGCUAGAAUUGAAAUGCACCGUUUUGAGAAGUCCCUUUAAAAGAGGCUUAAGGGUUAUUUGCUUCUUCUUGAAAAUUUCCUAAGUUUUCAAGCCUUCAAGUUUUCCGGUUUUAUUUUUCGUUAUUUAAAUUUUCUAAGUGUUUACUCUUCAUUUUCUCUAUUAUUCUCAUCUUCUUUCACUUUCAUUUUUUCACCACCUUUGCUUGCUCGGAGUUAGGGCGUAUGUUGAGGGUAAGGCUCAAUUUUUGAAUCUUUCCUUUCCUUUUUGUUUUGAAUUAGCACCGAUAGCCAAAGGAAAUAAAGGAGAGGAGAUUGUGCCUUAAGAGGCAGUGGCUAAGAAGGUGAAGAAAAUUCCUAAGUUAGAGAGGGAUGUGGUGGUGGUUGGCACUUUUGAGUGCACCAACAGGACAAAAGAGAUGACUCGAUUACUCCGAUGCUGAGGGCUGGAGCUGAAGCACUAUCGAUAUGAAUUCAAUAAUCUAAAGGGUGAGUUUUCUCUAAGUGCAAUGAGUAGGCCUAACCAUAGGGGAAAGAGGCAUGGGUUUUACUUGUCGCUAUAUGUGUUAGAGGCAAGGUUUCAUCUUCCACUUCACCACUUUGUAUGUGAGAUUCUUAAUUAUUAUAGGAUAGUUUUGGGACAAUUAGCUGGGUUUUCAUGGUGGAUAAUAAUUGGGUUUUUGUUGUUGUGCUGUGAGUGUUGGGAGGGGAAGAGGUCCCCCACUAGUUGAACCAAACAACUCACCUCAGGUUGUGUACCUCACAAAGCAUCAAAGGCCCUCUGGUAGAAAAUUUGCUCUAUGGGUGGGCCAGCAACUUGAACCUAGAUAGACAGACACAAGUACAUUGUAAUGACCCGAAAGUCAGCGAUGUUGGAAAACGCAAUUUCGAGAUCUCAUUUCUGUAAAUUGAGACCGUAAAUAUUUACGGAUGUAUAUUGUAGAUUAAUUGAAUUUUGGAUAGACAAUUUUGUUGAAUUAGAGUUUAAUUAAGGUAUAGGGACUAAAUCAUAAAAUUGGUAAAAAGUUUUAUCACUAAAGAAUUUAAUAAUUAGAAAUAAGGAUAGGGACUAUUAUGGUAAUUAUACCAUCUAAUUAUUAUUGUGGCUGAUUUUUAACUAAGGUAUGCAUUUAUAUUAUAAAAAUUUUAGUUUAAUUAAAAAUUACAAAUAAAACAUAAAUUAAAAAGGAAUGAAAUAUAAAUAGUGGAGAAACAAAAUAUUUCCUAUUCAUUUUUCAUUCAUGUAGCCCGAAAACAAGAAGAAGAAAGAAGAAGUUUGGCCUUAGGAUUCCAUUUUUAAUGCUUCAAAUUGGUAGGUGCAAUUUAGUCAUUUUCUUGUAAAUUUUAUGUUUUUGGAAUCCCGAGAGCUUAAUCUAGAUGAAUUGUAUGUUAUUUUCCAGAAUUUUUAAAGUUUUAGAAUGAUGCCAUUGAUGAAUCUUUGAAGUUUUAGAUACUAAAUUGAUAGAUUUAAAGCUUAGAAGUGAAAAGGGACUAAAUUGUAAAGUUAAUUUAUAGUUUUGUAUAAUAGGGACUAAAAUGCAAAAAUUUUAAAAUUUAUGGUAGAAAUUAGAAACAAGAAGUCCUAAUUGGACUAUAGUGAAAACGAAUUGAAAAUAUGAGUUCUAGAUUGAAAGUUAUGUUAGUCUUAAUUUUAGGGACUAAAUUUAAUAAAAUGUAAAAGUUGUAUAAAUUUUCAAUUUAGUGUGAAUUUGAUUGUGUAUUGAUGAAUUAUUAUUGUGUUUAUAUUAAUCCGUAGCUAACGUCGACCUGGAUUCCUAAAAAAAGAAAGGAAAAGAUAAAAUUAUCGACGAAUAGCUUAGAGUUUUCAAUUUGUGUUUCUAUAAUCUGAACUGUCUCAAUUGUUGCAUGUAUGAACUUCGUUGUAUGGUAAGAUCAUAAGGUGAGUUACAAUUGAUAAAAUGGGUUGAAAUGAUUCGAUACGAAUUGGUUGUCUAUGUUAAGGACUGAAUUGAAUAGAUUUAAAAAUAUUAUAUAUUGUUUUAAAUGUGAAAUUGUAUCAAUUUUGUGAUGAUUUAUGUUGAUAUAUAUAAGAAUUGUUGAUUGGUUGAUUGAGAUUAUGAAAUGGAAAUUGGGAAUCGAUUAUAAAUGAAUGUGAGAAACUUGUUACUCUAUUGACUGUUCGAGCAGGGUUGGGUAUAAUUGGCAUGCCAUAGGAUAGGAAGAGUUUAGGGUUUUUACGACUAUGAGUUGAGGUGUGAUGGGCACACCUAAUUUUCGGUUAAACCAACCAACGCUGGGCGCAACUUACUAUUUCAGAUUUAUCCGAUUGACACUAGGUGUCAAAUUGGUGUGAUUGGUUGAAUCUGUGUAUCCGUUCGAAUCCGAGUCAGUUUAAUAGGGGGUUAAAAGUUGAAAUAAAAAUAAUGAAUUAUGAAAUAAAUUGAUAAAAAUAUCGAUGAUAUUAAUUUUUAUUGAAAGCUUGGAAUUGAGAUAGACAUGAGGCAAUAUAUUUUGUUGAGACAUUAACUAUGUUAUAAAAUGCAUUCGAUAUUAUAAUGGUAGUAGAUAUGAUGAAAAUGCAUUGUAUAAUAUUUGGUUGGUAUAUACACCCUAUGAUCAUUGAACCAUACCUUUAUACGUUUUAUAAUCCUUUUUAUUAUUCGAAUUAUGGAAAUACCAUUGAGUUCAUACUCAACGUACGAUUUUGUUUAUUCAUGCGCAGGUUAGGUGUUAGAUCAUAUACGUUUGUUGAUAUCAACAUCCAUUCGUGAUCUCUGACUUAUCAUGUUGGUGAUACUUUAGUUAGUUUGUCGGCAUGUACUUAAGGGGUCUUAUACCUAUUUUAUGCUAAUUGGAUAAAUGUUGACAUUUUGGCAUAGUUGGUGCAUAUGUAAAUGUUUACUAUUAAUGGUAUGGAUCAUGUGUUUAUAAAUGUGUUGGAUGCGCUUAAAGAUUAAAAGGUACAAUGCGAGCUAGUAAAUAAACGAGUUAUAUUGAAUGAUGAUUAAUAGUGAAAUGGUUAAGUAAAUAGCAUGUUAAUGUUAAUAUGAAUUGGUAAGAAAAAUGUUGGUUAUGUUAAACAUGAAAUGGUCAUUUGUUGUUAGAUGAACAUGUAUUAUGGAUGAUUAAGUUGAAUUUGGUAAUGUUUUUUUAAUGUGAAUUGAUAUGUUUUAGGUGCCAUUUGAGGCAUAUUGGUAUUUUGAAUGUAUGUGCUAUGAAUGUGUCAAAUUGGUAUGUUUUCUAUUGAAUUUAUACAGGUUUUGAGUAGGAAUUAUUGUGCAUUUGAACAUAGGUUAUGCUUUGAAUAUGGUUAAACAUGAACUAGGCCCUAAAUGACAUAUUUUGUGCCACACAGUUUGGCCACACGAUCGUGUGUCACACAAGGGUUAGUGACACGACCGUGUGCCACUAAAAUAUAGGAUGUAUAAGAAGCACACGGUUCCCAAUUGAUACAGGGGCUGGCCAUACGCCCAUAUGACUACUGUAGUUAUGGUCAUUUAGUUUUCACACAGUUUCAAUUUGUUACACAGCCCAGCCACAUGGCCAUGUGACUUUUGUUGAAUAUUGGCAUUUUGACCCACACGACCAUAGUGAGUUACACGGUUUGGAUACAUGGUCGUGUGACUCCAAUUCUACACGGUUAUAGCUUGUUACACGGUUGUGUGACCCCUAUUUUACACAAUUGCCCUUCUUUUUUUGUAAAAGUUUCAAAAUGAUCAUUGUUUGAUAUCGGGUCAAUUCAAGAGCUUUUGUAAGCUCAAUUUAAACCAAAUUUCGUUUGCAAAGUAUGAUUUAUGUGAAUGUUUGUAUUUAUUUAAUGUAUAAUUGAUUUUUUUAUGAAACACGUGUAACUGUUUUGUUAAUUAUUUAGCAUCUUGCCACUCGAGUCUGACGACCGAACCGGGUGAGGGGUGUUACAUACAUACUUGUGGAAUUAAAGUUUGGGGAUAGCUUUGAUUUCCUAAUUGAGUGGCCCAUGCAUCCAAAUGAUUUAUGUAACUUUAAGCCUUCAUUAGAAACUUAUGAAGGAGGCUGAAAAGCAGUUUAAUGACUUGAGAAUGGAGGGUUUCAUUGUGCUACCUUAUGAUAUAACCAUUCAUAGAAUUUGAAACACUGUCUUGGUUGAGUAAUUCCAUUUAGCUUCCAUAAUAUUGACUUCUAGUGAAGGUUCACCAAUAACUGUAUGAGGGCGCAUUAUACCCAUGCCUAGCCACACAACAGUGAAUAUGUGGUGUCUGGGAUUUUGUUUGGCCUAGAGGAGAAGGCGUAGUUGUAUGUAGUACAUUUUGGACUAUGUCUUGAUCGUAAGUGAGGGGCCCUUAAAGGCGUAACACAUGUAACAUUAUUAGACCCUUCCGAGGUUGAAGAAUGACAAUAUAAUAUAGGAAAUAGGGUCUAAAAGUUGUCUAGGGGUCUGGGGCUAAUGCACACACUACCGCGAAGUAUAUUAAUGUUAGCACUAUUGCUAGUGCGAGAACCAAUUGAUCAUCCGUGGCACGUUCUUACUCUCAGGCUUUAGGUGAGGAAAUAACUUCUGCAACUUCCACUCUUGUAAUUGAAAUUUCCUCAGAUGGGGAGGAAGCUUCUUUCGAUAUCCCUACAUUGGGAAUGGAUAUAUAUGUGCAUACCCUUUGGGAAUUCAUUAACCAGUAAAAGGAGUGGGAAAAUCUGUGCUAGAGGGCUCAUAUAAGAGGGCUGAGAAUUUUAGUUGUACCUUCUCCACAACUAUUUUAUUUUUAUAACUUGUGAAUUUGAGUUGUUGCUUUAAGUCUGAUUGUUUGUCUUGCUUGUGUAGCUACUUCAACAGUCAUAAUCGAAGGGAUGGAUGCUAAUUUUAUAGAUUGUUAUUCCUGUCCCCAAUAGAAAGAGAGCUAACAACCCAUCAAGUAAUCAAUUAAAAAGGGGUAGGACCAAAACUACAAUGGUUCGUUCCUGUGAGGUGGUGAUCAAUAAGCCAUCUCCUACUACAACUAAUCCCAACACACUCAUUGUGACGAGCCAAGGUGUAUUUGGGAUCCUUUUUAGUGAUUAUGUGUUGGGAUUUAGUGCUUUUAGUGUAGUUAUUUCAUCAUAGAUAUAUUUGUAAUCUUUCGAAUAGAUUGGUUUAGAUAAAAUUCCAUCAUUCACAUUUUUAUUGUUUGUAUUUGUCCUCAAUGGUUUUUACAUGCAAAACAAAAUGUAUAAGCAUAUAUUGGCUCACUGAUUACCUUACGUUUGACUAAUAUUAACGUACAUUAUGUGGUUGGAUCAUAAUGCAAGAAGACAACUUAUAUUAGUAGGUAAUCUAAAUGGUUUGUAGUCUGAUGAAUCGAAAUUGAGUAAAUCAAUUCAAGACUACUAUGUUGUUUAUUAAGUCUAAUUGGGGGAUACCUUGUCCUAGGUAUUGGAAUGGAUAACUCUCAAAAGAUAGAGACAUAAAUGUAACUGACUAGACUGACAGUAAAUCGGAUUGGACCCAAGUAGAAUAGAUCCUAGAUUUGUUUAUGGAUUUAUUCACUUAUGACAUUCAUAGUGUGACUUACCUAAAUCCCAAGCAAGUGAUGCAUUGUGUGUGCAUGACUCGUGUACUUUGAUGUAUUGUUAACUUGUGUUCAAUUAGUAAUAGAGUUGAAAGUUGGUACGUUGGAUAUACAGCUUUUGCAUAACAUAGCUUCACGUACAAUAGUAGAAUUCAUAACCCAAUAAAGAGUAAAUGAUAUCCUCUCAUUGGCAUUACAUAAUAGGUGGGAAACAAGUCAUUUUUCUUAAGAUGAAUUAUUUAAUUACUGUUUGUUAGUAAUUUAUUUUUCAUGAAGUAAGAUGUAAUGAUUAUCAGGAAAUAAAAUAGGAUCAUAUUGAGAGAACAAAUUUAUCCCAAAGAGAUUAAAGAUAUCCUAUGAGGGUACCACAUAUGACAAGGUCAUUGGACGAACAUUUAAUAAAGCAACUUUUGUAAUGGUAUAUAAUAGGGAGAGCUCAAUCAUGGGACUUUAGUGGAAUGACUUCAUGAUUAAAUAAUGUUGUAAUUAAUAGACAAAGAUUUGGAACUUAAUUAAAAAUUAUUUGAAUCCUAAUUAUAUAUGUCUAGUUGGUUCCUCCAUUAGCUAGAUAUAACCUUGAUGGUUUACAUUAAUCGAUGAAAUAGAAACAUGUGAAACAAUGGACUAGAGAAAUAGAUCGCAUGUAUCAUUAUCUACAGUGAAUACGUCUUCUCGCUAUAAACAAGAAGUGACUCAAAAAUUAAUUUAUAUAUUUGAAUUAUUAUUUAAUUAUUCUAAAAUUAAAUAAUUAAAGUUCGAAGAAGAAAUUAAAUUAAUUCAAUCAGCAUAGUUUCUUAAGAACAAGAUUAAUUAAAUUAAUUUACUAAAAUUUUAAAAAGGUAAAGUGGUUAUGACUUUAAUUAAAUUAAAUUCGGGUUGAGAAAAUAAUUUAAUAAGUAUAAUUAAUUAGAUUAAAUGAAUAAGUAAUAUUUUUGACAUAAGAAAAUAUUUAUUGGUUUUGAAAUAUCUUCAAUAAUUAUCCCACAACUUCCUUCAUAUCUAAGUAAAAUAAUCACCUUGGUCUCCAAGUAAAAAGAUAAGGACAAGUAUAAAGAUAAGGAUAGAAAAAAGCAUAGCCUGACAAUAAUUUGCGAAUAGUGUAACAAUCAUGAAGAUCAAAGUAAAAAAAUGCCAAUUUUAUAAUGUAGUUGAACUAUCUUGAAGACAUAUUCAAACUGUUGUUCAAAGGUUUGUCCAAACAACUGUUCAAACAAGGACAAAACAUGGUGAUAAAACAUGUAAUUCGAGAAACUAUUCAAACAUGAGAAGAUACUUCAAAUACAAGACAACUAAGAUCCCAACAUUUUUCAUCUUUCUAUUCUUUCACCAUUCAAUUUUCUAUCUUUUUUAUUUCCUUUGUUCUCUACCAAGUAAAACUAUUUGUCAUUACAAAGGAAACACAUGCCCUUGGAUUCUAUUUUGCCGCUGGGCAUCCCAUGAAUAAGUUGAAUAUGGGUGCGUAGUUGGCUAAAAGGAUGGUGGAUUGGUACUUGUGGCUGUUGGUAGGUUACAGUAGUUUAGCCUCCACAUGAGAGAGGAAUUCAAGUAAUAUUGUUGGUGUUUGACCUUGAGGAAGUGGACCAACAGGGCCCUUGUGUCAUAUAAUUGGAGUUUAAUUUAGGCAUGAUACACGAUGGGAGGUUUAUGUACCCUUACGUUAUGUAAUUAUCAACCAUGGCAUAAAAAAAUUAUGGUCUAAUUAAUUCUGCUAGUCAAAUACUUUCUGGAAAUUACAACUCUUUGCAAUUACAAAAAGUAUAAUUCAAUUAUUUUGCUUUCAAAAUCCACUCACUGAAAAGUAAAAUCUUUCCAACACUUUUUCUUUAUUCACAAAAUCUGAACUCAAGAUAUUAAUUUAUUCAACCCAAUAUUGGUCAUUUUAAAGUAUUUUGUUUAAAAAGUCUUUGUACUCUUUUAAAAUUUAAAAUUAAUCAUGUAUUUUAUUUUUGAGAUAUUAAAUCCCAUUACUUUUUUUAUUUAAAAAUUAUGGUCUCUCCAUUUAACUAUUACUGAUGUGAUAAUUAGAAAAUAAAUAUAAUAUUUUUUUUAACUCUCAAUAUUUAUAAUUUUUUAUUAAUUUAAUCAUUGCUCUUUAAAAGUUAAUACUUUUUUAUUAUAAUUUAUAUAAUCUUCUUCCUUUCUCUGUAAGUAUCUGUUACACUGCAACUCUUUUUACUGCCAUUUUCCCGCAUAUCUUCCUCUCAUAUUACUUUGCUUUUCAUAAAAAAUAAUAUUAUAUAAUUUUCAUUCUACAAUUAAAACCUUAAAUUGUAAGCAUUAAGGGCUAAAAAAGUUUUUCUAUCUAUUUUAUAAUCGCCAUAUCAACAAAAAUUAAUGAAAAAUGGACAAAGGGAUCAAAAUUUUUAAAUAAAAAAGUUGUUGAGUGUUUUUUCGUUCUGUCAUAUUGAAGGGGACAAUCAAAUAUUUAUGCACAUGAUUAUUAUUCAUGGAAUUGAUAUUCUUGGUAAGCUCUAUACAUGCUGGAUACGUUUAUUGUUCUGGUUUGCUUGCUAGACUUCGUAGCCACCACAUGCGAACUCCUUGCACAUGUGAACUAGGACAGCGAACUACCCUUGCUAGCCCCUUUGCCUUACCCCCACUACAAGACCUGCAUGCAUCCAACUGGUUGGGCCUAACCGGGUCGCGGGUAGGCAAUCCAGAUUUUAUCUGGGUUUCAGGUUGGUGAUCACAAAUACGAAACAAUCUAGUCCCCCUAUUGGAUUUAAAGGGGGUUAUAAAGUGGCACUCCUUAGAGCCAUCACUUCGCAUUUAUACAACUUGUUGAAUACGCAACCACUAAAGCAUGACGUUAGUCUCACCACAUAUACGGAGGGUUAUAAAGUGAUGUUCCUUAAAACUAUCACUUCACAUUUAGACAGUUUGUUGAAUAUGCUGCGACCACUGAAGCAUGACAUUAGUCUCGCCACAUGUGCGGGCGGAUCAUGUCUAUCUGUAUCUGGUCGUUGGUGCUCAUCGGUUAUUUGAAUCGUCAAAACACGGGAAAGAGAAACUCUUUAAAAAUAGGGUUUCAAAAGCCUUAAAACUCACAAACUUAACACUUUCUGCAACCAGAGUUGAUCGAGGCUUUUCUUCAAGGUAAAUCUUGUUAACUUCUUCGUUCUAGAUUUUAACUUUCUUCUUCUUCUUUUUUAUUUUUUUUAUUGAAACUAUGCCAAGAAUGAGAGGGGCUGGUGGUCGGAUAACUCCCAGCUAUCCACAUGAGAGCGUGCAAAAAAAGUCUCUGUAGAAGCCAACUUUUGCGUAUACACAACAAAAGAAGAAGGGAUGACUCAGGCUUUAGCCAUGCGAGGGAUUAAAAUCCCCAACUUCACUUACGACUUCCCCAUUCUUGAGGAUCCACAUAGGUUGAGUGACAUUAGUGAUGGUAACUUACUGCUCCCCUCCACGUUCUAAAAGCUAGAUUCUAUUUGCCCUUGAACCCGUUCUUCUGUCAUCUUCUCCAAUAGUACAGGAUCGCUCUUGGUCAGCUUUCUGGGUUUUCUUGGUGGAUUGCAGUGGCUUACUUCAUCGAUUGCUACCGACGUAAUGAAGUGUCACAGCUUGCGGUUUUUCAACGUUUAUGUUUGUUGAAAGCCCAGAACUAAGGGAAUUUACUGGGCUUCUACUAUUUCUCUCCUCACGAAUAGGUUAAGACUAUAAUCGCCAACUGAUGUUUUAAUCUUCAACUGAAUUGAGGGAAAUACAUUAGGGUGAAAUGUAGGCUCAGCGAUUGGUUUGGUUUGCCAACAGAGUGGUCGUACCAAACAGGGACAUGUGUCUAUUUAAGUGAAGCAUUACAACAAAUAAUGGUAGAGUCCAACUUGAAAGGCUUCACACUAGCAAUCCUCUGGUUGUAGAGGAUGUUAUAAGUGCAAUGAAUAUGUUUCGGUAUUGUUUGAAAGGCUUUAACCCCAAUGGAUAGAAGCGGGGUGACAGUAGGGAAGUGGCCAAAGCUGCUGGUGCGUGACCUAAAAGACAGACAUGGCCUUAUGGGGCUAGAGAUGACCUGGGUCUGAUAUUAACAGGAUAUAACGAGGAGCUUAGGAACUUCUUUUACAGUUUCUGCAGGAUGAAACUUCGCCCUUGGAUCUCAGCGGUCUCAUCGCACAAAGAAAGUUAUGCAAAUAUUAAUUUGAUAAUUGCUUUCGCUGACCUUGGAAUUAUUAUUGGUGCAGGCACAGCUCGCGGUUUUGGAAGCGAUUUAGAGGAAACUACUAGUCUGUCUCGUGAAAUUAACAAAGUCAUGGACCUGCAAGCUUCUCUGAAGGAUAUGUACAAGAAGCGCAGAAUCGAUGUAGGGCCUAUGAAUGUGGUUAUCAGCAGUAAAGAGGAGACAGAUAGUGGAAGACUAAAGUAUUACCGUAAAAGGAAAGUAGAUCAUACUAGGCCUUCUUCUAUGAUAACCGCUACUCUUAUUUCUCCCUCAAUAAGCUCACCAUCAAUAGCCCAUACAAGUUUUUUGAUUGCUGCUCAUGGCAUCUCUCCUCUUUCUACUCCUCAUUGUAUUCUUUCUUUUUUACCUCUUGUUGAGGAAACCUUAUCUGGAGAGGAUGGUGAGCUAUUCCCGCGGUGUGGACGUAUGAGUAUGUGAGAGUACCCCUAUGAACCUAGCAAAGUGGUGGAGAAGUGGAAGGUUUUUUUACCAGAAACUACAGAAAGGUAAAUGUGCAUCGCUGAGUCAUCGAGUGGUGCAAAGAAUCCUCUACUGUCAAAGCUUACCUCAUCCUUGCAAGUUCUGCUGGCUGAGGCUACUAUGGUUAACUUAAGCCUUAAUGAAAACGUUGGUAAAGUUGAGGCCAGUCAAAGGGAGCUCGAGGAAACUAAGGGGGAUUUAGAGAGAACUCGCAAGUUAUACCUCAAGAUUAGGAAGGAGAAUAAAGAUCUUUAUAGAUAAAUUAUAGAGAUCGUUGGCCGUCUGGAAGCUACUAAGGUCAAAAUUGAUGAGUUAUUUGAGAAGGUCGCAGUUGAAAAAGAAAGAAAAGAGGCCGUGGACUGAUUUGAAGAAAAUGACUAAAGAGCAUAAGGUAACCGUGAAUCAAAUUGUUGAAGAAUAGGAAGCUGCUAUGGCAAGGUCAGAGUAGAAACAAACAGAGGCCUUAGAGAAAUUUAAAGGGAAGACUCUGAAGAACUUGAGUAACCUUGAUUAAGAGCUCAAGUCGAAUGAACUUAUGCAUGCCCAAGUUGUAGGUGGCCUUUUUUAUGCUCGCGGGGUUGACCUCGAUACUCUCUACGAUGUGGAUAUGAACCAACUGAGUGUCAAUGUUCGCUACCCUUCUAAAAUUUUCUGGGAUGAGUUCACAUCCAAAAUAAGAAACUCAAAAGGCUUUUACCAGGAUAAAGACCUAGCCGAAACCAACACUACUCCUGUUGACAACAAUGAAGCCAAUGAGGACCUCGCUGAAGCCAAUGUUGCUCCUACUAAUGGUAAUGACCACAUUGAAGUUGUUGGAAGAGAAGGAGAAAAUGAGAUCUUCAGCGACCAUGAAUGGGCUGAUAAUAUGCUUUAAUUGUAACUUUGUAUUAGUUUUUUCAUCUUGAAAUGAAAAUUUUAACUUUGAAAAUUUUCAAAUUUGCUUGUUACUAUUAUGACAUCAUAUCCUUUUGUGGACUUAUUUUAUCUUUUCGCAUAACACUACUGCGUGUACCAAAAAUUUGAACUUAAAAAUUUUUUUAAAGAUAUUCUCAGAAACUUUUAAUUGACUUAGUGUAAUUCAAAGGUUCUGUUUUAAGUGACUUAUCAUCAAUUUUGACUUGAGUGUUCUUAAACAUCUGUAUUGUGAAUUUAAGUAAGCAAACUCGAAGGAAAUUAAGUUACGAUCUCAAAUCAAUUAAGCCUUAAGUACCACACAAGAAGGUAGCUUUGCUAGUUGUGUUGGAUCUGCGAGCUUAACUAUGCGAGCUCUUAUAAUGUCAACUGGGAGCAUAGGUCUGCGAGCUGCUUUAGAAGUUGUGGUUUUAAACCGUCAAACCUUUAGGACAUCAACUGGAAGCGUAUGUUCGCUAGCUGCUUUAGAGGUUUCGAUCUUAAACCGUUAAACCUUUAUGACAUCAACUAGGAAUGUAGGUUUGCUAGUUACUUUGGAGGUUAUGAUCUUAAACCGUCAAACCUCUAUGACAUCAACUGGGAGCGUAGGUCUGCUAGUUGUAUUGGAGCUGCGAGCUUAACUCUUCGAGCUUUUAUAAUGCCAGCUGGGAGCGUGGGUCCGCUAGCUACUUUGGAGGUUACGACCUUAAACCGUCAAACCUUUAUGACAUCAGCUGGAGCGUAGGUCCGUUAGCUAUGCUGGAGCUGCGAGCUUAACUCUGCAAGCUCUUAUAAUGUUAGCUAAGAGCGUAGGUUUGCUAGUUGUGUCAGAGUUACGAGCUUAACUCUACGAGCUCUUAUAAUGCCAGUUGGGAGCUUAAGUCCGCUAGCUGCUUUGGAGGUUGUGAUAUUAAACUAUCAAACCUUUAAACUAUACAAAGUACAAGUGUUUAUAAAGAGAAUAUUUUUAUUCAAUGAGUAAGAAAUUACACAUAGUAUUUCUUAAGGUGAUGAGCAUUCCGUGUUUAUGGUAGAAUUGUACAUUUCAUUUUUGCUAACUUGUACACUCCAUAACCUAUCUUCUCAAUGAAUUUGUAUGGCCCUUCCUAGUUUGGAGCCAUUUUCCCUUAUUCCGAAGCUAGAAAACUAGCCUUGGUGUUUCUAAGGACAAGAUCACUUAGUUGGAAUUACUUGUUCUUAACCUUAGAGUCUUAGUACCGAGUUACUUGCUAAGCACAUGCUGCAUUCUUGAUCUCCGCUACUUUUCUAAAUUUAUCGAUGAGAUUAAGGUUAAGUCUGGUAGCCUGUUGAUUGACAUCUUCAUUAAAAUAUGUUGUCCUGUGCGACCGCAUACCAAUCUCAGCGGGAAUUACUACCUCAACGCCAUAGCCAAGGGAAAAUAUUAUUGCUCCUGUUGCAGUAUGAUGCGAAGUUCGUAGGCCCAAUAAGAUUCCUGGUAGCUCAUUUAACCACACCCUUAGCUUCAACAACCUUCUUUUUUAAGGUUGUUAGAAUCUUCUUAUUCAUUGCUUUAGUUUGCCCAUUCGUUUGUGGUAUUUUAAUAAAACUCUAAGCCAAAGCAAUUUGAAGAUCUACACAGAAAUUUUUGAACUUUUCCUGAAACUGUGUGUUAUUGUCUAUGAUAAUCAGGUGAGGUACACCAAACCAUCACACAAUUGAUUUCUAGAGAAAAGACUCCAUUUGUUUCUCUAUGAUGGUCGCCAAAGGUUUAGCUUCAAUCCACUUGGUGAAAUGGUUAACAACCACCACUAUGAAUUUUUUCUGUACUAUAGCCAUCGGGAAUGAAUUGAGAAUAUCAAUUCCCCAAGUCACAAAUGGUCAAGGGCUCGACAUGACUAGAAGAGGUUUUACUGAUUGUCGAUGCACCUGAACAUAUCUCUGGCAGGAGUCGCAUGUGCGAACCAAAUGAUGUGUAUCCUUUUGAACCAUAGGCUAGUAAUACCCUUGCCUGAAAUUUUUUUGGGUAGGUAGUCUUCCACCCAAAUGGUCACCACAAAUGGCUUCAUGAAUUUCUUACAUUACGUACUCAACCUCAAACGAUGAUAAACAUCGCAGCAGAGGAUGCGAAAACCCAUUUCUAUAUAGUACACCCAUUAAAAGAGUAUACUUAACAAUUGUAGGUCAAAACUAAUUAUUUUAACUCGCUAUGUAAUUGAGUAAUUUAACAAUUAUCUACAUAGUACUCAAAUGUCUAAUUUAUCGAUUAAAAUUUUUCGAGAGUAUGUAACUUGUGACAAUGACAUACCUCGUAGCUUUAUGUUGUAACCUUGUAAGCUCUUUCUUGUCCAGAUUAUCAUACACUCUUUGUAAUGUGCGAACUAAGUGAGCAAUCAAUGUCUCUUCCUGAUCUAUAGUCAAAACUUGUUGCAUGUCAUAGCUCGGGGUAUCAUUGUACUCCAAUAAAAAUUUUCCUCUUUGUUCAAUGACAAUAGAGGAUGCAAAUUUAGAUAAAGCAUUUGUACGUGUGUUGUCACUCCUUAUGAGCUGCUUCAUCUAAACUUUGUAAAAUCCUACGAGCAGCUGAAUUGCAACUGAAUGAUAUCUCUUUAACACUACGUCCUUAACCUCGUACUCGUCACUCAUUUACUUCGUCACUAAUUGUGAAUUUGUAUGGAUGAUCAUAUCAUUCACUCCUAGUUGGCGUGCUAGUUGUAACCCUGAUAUUAAAAUUUCAUAUUCUAUUGCGUUUAUGGAUGUUUGAAAUCCAAAAGUUAAUCUGUACCGCCAUUCAUUCCCACUGGGAUCAAUCAGAAGUACUCCUGCUCCUGAACCUGCCUUGGUUGUGGAGCCAUAAAAAUACACUAGCUACAUUUUCCAAUUAUCAAUUGUAUCUACAACCCCCUGAGAUGGACUAACUACUGGGUUACAUACAACAGAUGAAAAAUAGAUCCUAAAAUAAAGUGUGAGUUGAUCAUAAAUUAUUAUAAAAAUAAUAGGCUAAAUUGUAACAGCUUGUUUUUCGGUGGUGAUAGAACAACGGUUUUGGAACCACCAAUUUCCAUCGUGUUGAUUCGUAAGUAUUAUUUAUAAAAUAUUUACGGAGUCAUUAGAGUCAUAUUAAAAUUUGGUUAAGAAAUUUUAUCGUUUAGAUAGUUAAUUAAAAAAGGACUAAAUUGAAAAAGAUGUAAAACUUGGUAAUUAUUGCAUUUAGAUGAUUUAAUAGCUUAAAUAUCAUAGGAAGGAGGACCUAAGUAGUAAUUAAACCCUAGUUAUUAUUGUUGGACGGCUAUUGGAAUGAAAAUAAUAAAAUAACACAUGUUUUAAUGGCAAAAUAGUAAUUAACAUAAAAUUAAAACAAAAUAAUUAGAAAAAAGAUAACAUCUUCUUCUCCAUUUUAUUUUCAAAGUUGGCCAAAAACACCAUAACAGAGAAGCUUAAAGAUUCAGCUGGUUUGAGCCUUGCAUGGGUAAGUUUUGAGUCCCGUUUUUAAUGAAUUUUAUGUUUUUGAGAUCGUUACAACUAGGUCCAACUAACUCGUACCUUCCUUUCUGAAUCUGUUAAAAAUUUAGAGGUUUCCAUUGAUGAAUCUUGAUUUUUUUUAUGAUAAUUAUGUGUUUGAAGCUUUGAUUGUGGUAUUUGGUUGUUUUAUGAAGUAAUUUUAAUUAGUUUUUAUUUAAGGAUUAAAUUAUUAAAAUGUCAAAAUUUUAAGGUUUGAUGGUGAAUUAGAUGUAUAAUUAGGACUGUUUAAGGGCCAAUAUUAUUCGGUUGUAAAUUUUGACUUUAGAAAAUAGUUAAUUUGAUGAUUUUCAGGCUGUUAACUUGAGAAAAUGAUUUUCAGUUGUUAAUUUGCAAAAGUUGGACAAGUUAGGGGUAAUUGUGUAAUUUUGAAAAAUAAAAUGUAACAGCCUGAUUUUUAGUGGUGUUGGAAACAGUGGUUCGAGACCACCAAAUCCAACGAGUAAGCUCGUAAAUUUUUUUUUUAGUCUUUAUGAGUCAAAUAUGGUUUUAGAAAUAUUUUUGAAGUGGUAAUUUAUGUUUUAUAAUGAAUUAUUAGGUUAGAAUGGUAAAACUCUAGGUCAAGUGGUUUUAGAAAAUGAGGUAUCGAGAUCGUGUUUCUAUAAACUGAGCCGUAAAUAUUUAUAAAAAUAUUUACGGAGUGCCAUUAACAUAGUAUUAAAACUACGUUAAAAAAUUUUAACGUUUCGGUAGUUAAUUGAUUAAACAGGACUAAAUUGAAAAAGGUACAAAACUUUCAAAUUGUAAGAAAUAAUUGAUUAAAUGACUUACUUAAUAAACAACGGAGGGCUUAAGGAGUAAAUACGCCUAAAAUAAAAGGGUAGGAUGACAUGUAAGUGUGAAAUAAUAAAAUAAAGUAAACGGAUGGCAAAAUUGUAAUUUGCAUGAAAUUAAACAUACAAAUUAAAAUUAAAAGAGAAUUCUAGACAACUUUCUUCUUCAACUUCAGUAAACCGACAAGGGAGAGAGUUUCUAAGCUGGUUUUUCUAUUUUUGUUGCGUGUGAGUCUAAUUCUUACAUGUUUCUUGUAUUUUCAUGUUUUUGAGAUUGUUGCAAUUAGGUACAACUAAAUCCUACCUUAGUUUUUGAUUUUAUUAGAAAUUUUGAAAGUUAUCAUUGAUAAAUAAUAGAUGUUUUUGAUGAAUAACAUGGAUUUAGAGUUUUAAUUUUGUUGUAUGAUGAUUUUAUAAAGUGAUUUUGUUAAAUAUUCAUUUUAGGAUCAAAUUGUGAAAAAGUUAAAAUGUUAGGGUUUGGUAUUAAAUUUAUAUUUUAUUAAGAGCUGUAUAAUAGCCUAUAAUAUUUAGAUAAAUUAUUAAUUGAGGAAAAUUAGUUAAUUUGAUAGAUUAACUAGUUAAUGAACUAAAUUACAAAAGUUGUAAAACUUUGAGGUAAUUGUGUAAAUUUGAAAAUUGAAAGGUAGUAAUUGUGAAAUGAAUUGGAACUAAAAUAUAUGCUAAUGAAUGGUUAAUUUUAUAUUUUAGAUGAAGAUCCCGUAGAUACUCGUAAAAAAGGAAAAUUAGCAAAAUAGUCCUUAAACUUCUGCAAAUAUUACAAUUUAACCCAGGUAAGUUCAUACGGUUAAAAGUUAAUAAUUAUAUUUAUUUGAUGAAUGGUAUUAUAUAUAUUUAUUCUAUUGUUGAAAAUGAAUUAUUGUUGAACUUAUAAUUUUGUAUUGAAUAAUCGAAUUAAAUGGAACGCGAGAUUUGAGUACAUUCGUUAUGUGGCACAUGGCAAUAUUGGAGGAAAACGAUGAAUAAUUACCCAAGUAAAUCUGGGUUCAGUAUUUGUUGCAAAAUCUCGUGUUUUACUUUCUGUUUAGCUAUUACGAGCUUCUAUUUAACUCAUAUGAGUUUCUAUUUAGGUCUUAUGAGCUUCUGUUCAACUCUUAUGAGUUUUUUUCAGCUCUUAUGAGUUUCUGUUCAACUCUAAUCGGUUUUUGUUUAGCUCUUAUGAGCUUCUGUUUAGCUCUCAUGAGCUUUUAUUCAGUUUUCGGGAUUCUUGAAAUGAUGUACUCUUAUACGUAAGCCGUUCUUCAAUUUGGGAAAGAUUUGGUAAGGUGAUUUAUAUAUUGAAAUCGAAAGACAUAUUAUUUAUUUUUGGUAUUGACUUGAAACAAGUGUAUUCAUCGAUUUAAGUUGUGGUUGACAGGGAGUUUACAUGAAUGAUUUUAUUUAAUUGAUUUGUUAUAGUAGGUUCGGUAAGAUUUAUGUUUAACCCGCCGAACUUACUGAGCUUCAUUAAGCUUAUGUGUAUUGUUUCUUGUCUUUGUAGAUUUUCAGAAGGUUGGGUGAUCGAAUCAACAUUCAAAUCACACUAUCCAAUUUAUUCCGGUAGUUUUUGAAACAUUCAAUACGGUUUAUAUGGCAUGUAUAGGGUUGCCGUGGAUUUGAUUAAAAUUUGGCUUGUGUAAAUGUUAGGAGUGAUGUUUUGUUUAUAUAAUCAAUUUAAAUAUAUAUUUUGGUUUGGAAAUGAAGUAAAUUUGUGAUGUGGGUGUGAAUGAUAUAUGUUUGUAUGUAUUUAAUUUGUGGUAAACUUUAGUAGAAUUGCUAGAUUGAUUAAAUAGGUAAGUUUGAGUAUUUGGGUAUGUGUGAUGAUAUGUUAUGUUUAAAACAUGAUUUUGGCUUGUUUUGAUUGCUUUGUUAUGGCUUAUUGAUGUGUUAAAAUGUUGUGUUUAGGUUGGUACCAAAAUAGGUGAGAAAUGUGGCCUUGAAAUGGCAUAUUUUUGUUCACACAAGUAGAGACACGGGUGUGUGUCUCAGCAGUGUCUGACACAUGGCCAAGUGACACGGCCGUUUGUCCUCUAUAACUUAGAAAUUUGUACAAGUCAGUAUCCUCACACGGCCUAACACACAGUCAUGUGGCUUGGCCAUGUGACCUAAGUAAGAGAGCUUCUAAGUUUGGACACGAGCUGGGACACGGCCGUGUGCCCUUAUUUCGAAUGCCCACACGGCCUGAGACACGGACGUGUCUCUUGAUCGUGUGAGCCACACGACCUAGCCACAUGGGCGUGUGUCCCCUGUGCCUUUGAAAAUUUUUUAUGUUUCCUGAAAAAACAAAUUUUCUCUAAGUACCCGGUUUAGUCUUGAUUUAUUUUUAAUGUGUAUUUUGGGCCUCGAUGGCUCAUAUAAGGGACUUUAUGAUUGAUUUAUGAUAUGAAUACUAUAUGAUGAGAAAUAUCAGUUUACUUGAUCUGUAAAUAUCAGUAAUACUUUGUAACCCUAUUCUGAAAAUGUAUACGGGUUAGAGGUGUUACAUUUAGUGGUAUCAGAGCAUCAAUUUAGCCGAUUCUCAGACUGAACGUAGCGUGUGAAAUAUCUAAAAAUACAUGCCAUAUAAAUCUGUGAUAGUGUGAUAUGUAUGAUCCGAUCUAACCUUUGUUUUCUUAUAGAUUGUAAAGAUGUCAGAUGGAUGUGAACGUGCUGACAAUGAUGAGGUUAAUAGUAAAGCACCAACUUCUUAACAUGGGACGAGUAGUAAUGUCCCAAUUCCUCCGGUUCAGGAACAAGAACUUAAAAUCAUAUUCUUUGGGUAUAUGAAUCAGUGGUUCAACGAGUUUAUGCAAGAAAGAAAUCUGACUCAGCAACCUCUACCCCUACUAUACCAUCUGUAGUACCUCCGGUUGCACCUCCAAAUCCUCCAGUGACUAAACCUACUAGACAUACUCCAAUUGAAAAACUCAGAAAGUAUGGUGCUGAAGAAUUUGGAGUAGGUCAGAGGAUGAUCCAAUUAAAGUUGAGUAUUGACUUCAAAAUAUAAUAAGGGUCUUCGGAAUAAUGGCUUGUUCCCCUGAUGAUUUCCUUAUAUAUGUUGUUUCAUUAUUAAAAAAGGAAGCAUAUAACUGGUAGUCGACAAUAGUAGCUGUGGUACCAAAAUUGAAAAUUUCCUAGGAAAUUUUCCAGACUGAAUUUAAAAAGAAAUAUGUAGGAAAAAGGUAUUUGGAUAAAAAAAAGAGAGAAUUUCUUGAGUUACGUUAAGGACAUAGAUCAAUAGCUGAGUAUGAGAGAGAAUUUGUAUAUCUCAGUAAAAAUGCUCAAGAAAUUGUGUCAACUGAAGCAAAAAUGUGAAUCUGGUUUGAAGAUGGGUUGAAUGAUGAAAUUCGAAUGAUGAUCGGAGGUAAUGAAAUACGAGAAUUUUUUGUCUUAUCUGAUCGUGCACAGAAAAUGGAAAAAGUGUACAACUGUAAGAUGCAAUGAGACAGGCAAAAUCGAGAAUUUUACAAAAGAGACUCUUCUAGUCUUAACUUUCAAAUAAAAACAAGACGGUCCAAUACAAUUUCAGGGUGCCUACUAGACCAAUUGAUAAUAUAGGUAGUGUACAACUUACUCUAAAGCGUAAAUAUAGAUACUGUGGAAAAUAUCACCCUGGCGAGUGUAGAAGUAAAAUGGGAGCCUGUUAUAGGUGUGGAUCAACUGAUCAUUUUAUUCGUGAUUGUCUCAAAUUGCCAAGAGAAGAUGAUGAGCAGAAAGAAAAGGAAUUGUCUACUUCUCAGAAAAGUAGAUGCUCGGGCCAAAAUAGUGCUACUAGUACUGCUCAUUCAGGAAUGAAAGAUACUGUUGUUCGGUCAGAAGCUAAAGCACCUGCACGUACCUACGCCAUUCGAGCUAGAGUGGAAGCUACUGCUCCAGAUGUGAUUGCUGGUAUAUUUUAUCUCUUUGAUGUUACUGUGUAUGUUUUGAUUGACCCUGGGUCAACUCAUUCUUAUAUUUUCACUGCAUUAGUAACAAAAAGAAAGUUGCCUUGAUUAUGAUAUUCAAGUUACUAAUCCAUUAAGUCAAAGUGUGAUAGUUAAUUUAGUUAGUCGAAAUUGUCCACUGAAAGUUAAGAGUUGUGAAUUCCCUGCUGAUUAGAUGUUGUUACCCUUUCAGGAAUUUGAUGUUAUCCUGGCAAUGGAUUGGUUAGUUUUUCAUGAUGUUGUGGUAAAUUGUAGACAGAAAUGGAUUAAUUUGAAAUGUCAGACAGGAUAGAUGAUUUCAGUUGCGUCUGAGAAUCCGAAAGAUGUUACCAUUUGUUAGUAAGUUUGCUGAUGUAUUUCCUAAAGAAUUUUCGGGUUUACCUCCUAACCGUGAAGUGGAGUUUGUAAUUGAUUUGAUUCUAGAACUGCUCUGAUAUCAGUAACACCAUACUAUAUGGCACCAGCUGAACUAAAGGAAUUAAAAGCAUAGUUGCAAGAGUUAUUAGACCGAGGGUUUAUCAGACCAAGCAUGUCUCCUUGGGGUGCACCUGUUUUGUUUGUGAAAAAGAAAGACGGUUCUUUGAGAUUGUGUAUAGACCACAAACAAUUUAAUAAAGUCACAAUUAAAAACAAAUACCCUUUACCACGUAUCAAUGAUUUGUUUGAUCAACUGAAAGGUGCCGCAGUGUUCUUGAAAAUAGACCUUAGAUCUGGGUAUUAUCAAUUGAAGGUUAAAGAAUGUGAUGUGCUAAAAACUGCUUUCAGAACUCGUUAUGUUUAUUAUGAGUUUUUGGUAAUGCCAUUUGGUUUGACUAAUGCCCCUGUUGCUUUUAUGGAUUUAAUGAACCAAAUUUUUCAACCUCACUUGGAUAGAUUCAUGGUUGUGUUUAUUGACAACAUACUAAUCUAUUCAAAGACAGAAUCUGAGCAUACACAACAUUUAAGGAUCAUACUACAGACUUUGAGAAAAAAAUAGUUGUAUGCAAAGUUUAGUAAAUGUUAAUUAUGGCUCCGUGAGGUUGGAUUUUUAGGUCAUAUAGUAUCAGCUGAUGGGAUUCGAGUUGAUCCGAGUAAUGUUUUUGCUGUGAUAAAUUGGAAAACUCUGAAAAAUGUUUCAGAAGUGCGAAGUUUUCUGGGUUUACCAGGUUACUACCGACGCUUUGUCAAAAACUUUUCAAUUAUUAUUUUACCGAUGACCCAAUUACUUCAAAAAAUGUGGAGUUUGUUUGGUCCGAAGAGUGUCAACAAAGCUUUGAUCAGCUAAAGAAAAUGUUGACUGAAACUCCAAUCUUGACUCAGCCAGAAUCUGGUGUAACGUAUGUUGUUUAUAGUGAUGCAUCUCUCAAUGGUUUGGGUUGUGUACUAAUGCAGUCAGGAAAGGUAGUAGCUUAUCCUUCUCAAAAAUUAAAGUCGUAUGAGAAGAAUUAUCCUACAUAUGAUCUUAAGUUGGCUGCGAUCAUAUUCGCUUUUAAGAUUUGGAGACAUUAAUUAUACAGCGAGAAAUGUUACAUGUUCACAGAUCACAACAGUUUAAAGUAUUUCAUGACCCAGAAAGAAUUGAAUUUAAGAAAGAUGUGUGGUUAGAAUUACUCAAAGAUUACGAUCUAGUUAUUGAUUACCACCCGAGAAAGGCUAAUGUGGUUACGGAUGCAUUUAGUCGAAAAUCGUCAUUGUUUGCACUCCGAGCAUUGAACGCUUAUUUAACUCUUAGUGAAGAUAGUUCUGUAUUAGCCGAAUUGAGAACGAAACCCCUAUUUCUGUAACAAAUUCGAGAAUUGUUAAAUGACGAUCCAAAAUUGGUGUAGAAACGACAGAUGGUUCAGGAUAAUCUGAGUUCAGAGUAUAGUGCUGAUGGUAGUGGUAUGUUGCGUUAUCGCAAUAGAAUUUGUGUUUAGAAUAAUUUGGAUUUGAAAAAUGAUAUUCUUUCUGAAGCUCAUAGUAGCACGUACUCCAUUCAUCCGGGGAUUACAAAGAUGUAUUGUGACUUGAAACAAAUGUAUUGGUGGCCGGGUAUAAAACAGGAAAUCUAUGAAUAUGUAGCUAAACGUUUGAUAUGUCAGCAGGUGAAAGCAAAACAUUACGUACCAACGGGUUUAUUACAACCUGUUAUGAUUCCUAAGUGGAAGUGCGAACGAGUCACAAUAGAUUUUGUAUCUGGCUUACCUGUAACUCCGGGAAAGAAAGAUUCGAUCUAGGUGAUUGUUAAUAGAUUGACUAAAUCGACACAUUUUAUUCCAGUAAGAACAGACUUUACACUGGAAAAACUAGUGGAACUGUAUAUGUCUGAGAUUGUAAGAUUACAUGGAGUUCCGACCUCUAUUAUUUUGGAUUGGGAUCCAAGAUUUACAUCGAGAUUUUAGAGUAAUUGUAGCACAGCAUUUCAUCCUCAGGCUGACGGACAAUCAGAACGAGUAAUUCAGAUACUAGAAGAUAUGUUGAGAUAUUUUAUACUCAAAUUUGGAGGUAGCUGGGAAAUGUAUUUACCGUUAGCUGAAUUUGCAUAUAAUAAUUAUCAAUCCAGUUUAAAAAUGGCACCAUUUGAAGCUCUUUAUGAGAGAAUAUGUAAAACACCAUUAUAUUGGUCUGAACUGAGUGAAUCCAAACUAGUAGGAGUUGAUUUGAUCCGCGAGACUGAGGAUAAAUUUUGGAUUAUCUGGGAUAGUUUGAAAGCUGCUUCUGAUCGUCAGAAAUCGUAUGCAGAUUUGAAAAGAAAAGAUAUAGAAUUUGCUGUUGGGAUCGGGUAUUCUUAAAAGUCUCUUCAUAGAAGAAAGUAUUACGGUUCGACAAGAAAGGAAAGCUAAGUCCAAGAUUUAUCGGACCGUAUGAAAUCGUUAAAAGAAUCAGCCUUGUAACUUAUAAAUUAGCUUUGCCUCCUGAACUUGAGAAAAUUCAUAAUGUGUUCCACGUAUCGAUGCUGAGACGGUACAGAUCUAAUCCUACACAUGUGAUUCCUCAUAGUGAGAUUGAGCUAUAGCCAAAUAAAACGUAUUCGGAAGAACAUGUGAGAAUUUUAGCUCGAGAGGUUAAAGAAUUGCAAAAUAAACGAGUACCAUUGGUAAUAGUAUUGUGGCAUCGUCAUGGUUCGGAAGAAGCGACUUGGGAAACAGAACAAUCAAUGAGGUCAUAAUUUCUGAAUCUAUUCUCAGGUAACAAAUUUCAAAGACAAAAUUUCUUAAAGGGUAAGAGUUGUAACAGCCUGAUUUUCAGUGGUGUCGGAAACAGUGGUUCGAAACCACCAAAUUUGACAAGUAACCUCGUAAAUCUUAUUAUCUAGUAUUUACGAGUCAAAUGUGGUUUUAGAAAGAUUUUUGAACUGGUAAUUUAUGUUUUAUAAUGAAUUAUUAGGUUAGAAUGGUAAAAUCCUAGGUCAACUGGUUUUAAAAAAUAAGGUAUCGAGACCUCGUUUCUAUAAAAUGAGCCAUAAAUAUUUUUAUAAAUAUUUACGAAGUGCCAUUAAGAUAGUAUUAAAGUUUUGUUGAAAAAUUUUAACAUUUCUGUAGUUAAUUGAUUAAAAAAGACUAAAUUGAAAAAGGUGCAAAACUUGCAAAUUAUAAGAAAUAAGUGAUUAAAUGACUUAAUUAAUAAACAAGGGAGGACUUAAGGAGUAAAUAUGCCUAAAAUAAAAGGGUGGGAUGGCAUGUAAUUAUGAAAUAAUAAAAUAAAGUAAAUGGAUGGAAAAAUUGUAAUUUGCAUGAAAUUAAACAUACAAAUUGAAAUUAAAAGAGAAAUCUUGACAAUUUUCUUCAACUUUAGUAAACCGACAUGGGAGAGAGUUUCUAAGCUGGUUUUUCGUGUUUUUACUGCACGUGAGUCUAAUUCUUACCCGUUUCUUGUAAUUUUUAUAUUUUUGAGAUUGUUACAAUUAGGUACAACUAAAUCCUACCUUAGUUUUUGAUUUUACUAGAAAUUUUGAAAGUUACCGUUGAUUAAUAAUAGAUGGUUUUCAUGAAUAACAUGGAUUUAGAGUUUUAAUUUUGUUGUAUAAUGAUUUUAUAAAGUUAUUUUGUUAAAAAUUGAUUAUAGGAUCAAAUUGUGAAAAAGUUAAAAUAUUAGGGUUUGGUAUUAAAUUUAUGUUUAAUUAAGAGUUGUAUAGUAGCCUAGAAUAUUUAGAUAAAUUAUUAAUUGAUGAAAAUUAGUUAAUUUGUAAUUAACUAGUUAAAGGACUAAAUUAAAAAAGUUGUAAAUGUUUGAGAUAAUUGUGUAAAUUUGAAAAUUGAAGGGUAUUAAUUGUGAAAUAAAUUGGAACUGAAAUAUAUGCUAAUGAAUGAGUAAUUUUAUAUUUUAGAUGAAGAUCCCGUAGAUACUUGUGAAAAAGGAAAAUUAGCGGAAUAGUCCCUAAACUUUUACAAAUAUUACAAUUUAACCCAGGUAAGUUCGUACGAUUAAGCUUUAAUAAUUAUAUUGAUUUGAUGAAUGGUAUUAUAUAUAUUUAUUCUAUUGUUGAAAAUGAACUAUUGUUGAAGUUAUAAUUUUGUAUUAAAUAUUCAGAUUAAAUAGAAUGCGAGAUUUGAGUACAUUCGUUAUGUGGUGCAUGGCGAUAUUGGAGGAAAACGACAGCAAAUUACCCAAGUAAACUGAGGUUCAGCAUUUGUUAUGAAAUCUCGUGUUUUACUUUUUUUAGCUUUUAUGAGCUUCUAUUUAACUCGUAUGAGUUUAUGUUCAGCUCUUAUGAGCUUCUGUUAAACCCUUAUGAGCUUCUGUUAAACCCUUAUCGGUUUCUGUUUAGCUCUUAUGAGCCUUUGUUCAGCUUUCGGGCUUCUGAAAACGAUGUACUCUUAUUCGUAAGUCGUUCUUCAAUUUGGGAAAGAUUUGAUAAGGUGAUUUAUAUAUUGAAAUCGAAAGACAUAUUAUUUAUUUUUAGUAUUGACUUGAAACAAGUGUAUUCAUCGAUUUAAGUUGUGGUUGACAGGGAGUUUACAUGAAUGAUUUUUAUUUAAUUGAUUUGUUAUAGUAGGUUCGGUAAGAUUUAUUUAAUUGAUUUAUGUGUAUUAUUUAUUACCUUCGUAGAUUAUCGAAAGGUUGAGCGAUCGGAUCAACACUCAAAUCACACUAUCUAGCUUAUUUUGGUAGUUUUUGAAACAUUUAAUACGGUUUAUAUGGCAUGUAUAGGGUUGGCGUGGAUUUGAUUAAAGUUUGGCUUGUGUAAAUGUCAGGAGUGAUGUUUUGUUUAUAUAAUCAAUUUAAAUAUAUAUUUUGGUUUGGAAAUGAAGUAAAUUUGUGAUUUGCGUGUGAAUGAUUUACGCUUAUAUGUAUUUAAUUUGUGGUAAACUUUAGUAGAAUUGCUAGAUUGAUUAAAUAGGUAAGUUUGAGAAUUUGGGUAUUUGUGAUGAUAUGUCAUGUUUAAAACAUGAUUUUGGCUUGUUUGAUUACUUUGUUAUGGCUUAUUGAUGUGUUAAAAUGUUGUGUUUAGGUUGGUACAAAAAUGGGGGAGAAAUGUGGUCUUGAAAUGGCCUAUUUUCGUCCACACGGGUAGAGACACGGACGUGUGUCUCAGCCGUGUUUGACGCACGGUCAAGUGACACGGCCAUGUGUCCCCUGUAACUUAGAAAUUUGUACAAGUCAGUAUGUUCACACGGCCUAACACACGGGAGUGUGGCUUGGCCGUGUGACCCAAGUAAGAGAGCUCCCAAGUUUGGAAACGGGCUGGACAUUGCCGUGUGCCCCUAUUUCGAAUGCCCACACGGCCUGAGACACGGGCGUGUGUCCCCAGCACCUUUGAAAAUUUUUUAUGUUUCUUGAAAAAAAAUUUUCUCUGGGUACUGGGUUUAGUCCUGAUUUAUUUCUAAUGUGUAUUUCGGGCCUCGAGAGCUCAUAUAAGGGACAUUAAGAUUUUCUUAUGAUAUGAAUACUAUAUGAUGAGAAAUAUCGGUUUACUUGAUUUAUAAAUACUGGUAAUACUUCGUAACCUUGUUUCGGCGACUGAUACGAGUUAGGGGUGUUACAUAAAAGGGUAUAAAAUGCAGAGUUAACUAGAAUAUGAAAUGUAAGCUAAUAAUUGGGACAUUGUACAUUUUAGAUUAAGACAUUUUUUAUUUACGUAAAAAGGGGAAAAUUACAAAAUAGUCCCUAAACUUUUACAAUUAUUACAAUUCAGUCCAGGUAAGCUCGUUUGAUUUUUAAUUUAAUAUCUAUAUGAAUUGUAUGAUGAUAUGGUAUGAAAUAGUGGAUGUUAAUUAUUCUAUUGGUGAUGUAAAGUUGUUUGGGAAAAUGUUAUUGAAUUUUGGUACUUGGGCCGAAUGAAUGCGAGAUAGAGAACAACUGAAUGACAGCGUGCUAUGCAGAUAUUGGAGUAGAGAUUGAUGUGGUGUGUUUUAUAUAUUUUUCCCGAGUAUACUGAGGUUCAACAUUUGUUGCAAAUCCUUGUAUUAUACUAUCUUGUUCUGGCGUGUUAUGAGGGGCAGAUGUAUAGCCUACAGGCUAGGCACUUAGUGUCGAGGCGUGUUAUUGGUUGGAUUAGCUCUCAUGAGCAUUUGGCGUGUUAACGGUUGGAUUAGCUCUUAUGAGCAUUUGGGGUGUUUUGGUUGGAUUACUUAUGUACUCGUAUCUGUAAGUCGUCCAUCAAGUCGUAAAUUAUUGUAUUAUAACAUGUUUAAUGACUUUGAAUGGCAUGACAUGUACUAGAUAUCUUGAAUUGACUCUGUUAUGAAGAUGUAUGUUUUCCGGAAAUUAUUAUUGAGCUUUAAAUUGAACUAUGUAAUUUACUGGUUUAAAAUUGUGGAUGACAGGAAACAUUUGUUGUUGAAUUAUGUUUGAUUAAAUUGUUAUAUUUACUUCAGUAAGAUUUAUUGUUUCUGUCUCUUGAACUUAUUAAGCUUCAAUAAGCUUACUUGUGUUCAUUUUUGUUUCUUAUAGAUACUUUUGAGGGUUGAAUGAUCAGAUCAGCACUCAAGUCACACUGUCCCUCUGAUUUCAGUAGUUUUUGAACGUUUAUUUUGGAUUAUAUGGCAUGUAAUUAGUUGUUAUGUCAAUAACCUCGUUUGAUAUGUAUAUAUAUCUAUAAGGCAUGUAAUUAGUUAAUCUUUUAAUCGAUGUUGUCUUGUAAUAUGAUGAUUGUUACAUGAUUGCUAGGUUUGGUGGUGAAUAUAGUUCAUUUUGUGAAGUUGUGGUUAAGUUUUUGGUAAGCUUUGCUAUGAAUAAAUAUGAUACAUGUUUGAUAUUAACUUAGCAAGUUAUAAGGUUAGGUAUUUAGCUUAAAAUUGAUAAGAUUAUAUAUUUUGAAUGGAUGAAUCGUUGAUGAUUUAUAUGUUUGUAUAAAUGUGUAUACUUGCGGUACCAUUGAGGGUACAUUGGUUAGGCAUUUAAGAUGGUUGAUUUAGCAUGAUUUGAGCAGGUUUAAUGGAAUUUUGAAUAAGUCUAAUGGCUGGUAAAUGGAUUGCUUAGUGUUCAAGAAACCUUGAAAUGGUAAACUUAAUGUUUAACGUUCAUUUAAGUGCACAGGGCCUAGGACACGGGCUACCACACGGCCGUGUGCCACACAUGGUCUGUGACAUGGCUGUAUGUAACAAGUCAGUGAAUCACACGGUCUGCGACAUAGUAGUGUGUAUUAAGUCAGAGAGUUACACUAUAUGGCACACAAUUUGCGACACGGUCGUGUGUAUCAAGUUAGUGAGUUACAUGGUUUAAGACACGGGCUGGGACACGGCCAUGUAUCCCAAUUUCGAAUACUCACAAGGCCUGGGCUAUGUCACACAGCUGUGUGUCCCUUGUUUUUGAAUUUUUUCAUAUUUUCCUAAAAUUUCCUGACUUGUUUCAAAUUAGUCCCUGAAAAUUUUAAGAUUAUUUCUUCAGUCCCUUUAAGCUUGAUUUAAGCCUCGUAAGUUUAAGUUAUUAUUGUAAUUUAAUUACUUUAUGGUAUUUGAGAAAUUAUAUUGUAAUGAUCAUGAUUUUUACCUGUUUAUUUCUAUUAACUUGCUGUAGCAUUCUCGUAAUCCCUAUUCUUGUGACGGAUACUGGUGUUACAUAAAUUUUUGUUGUUCAUCAAUUGUUCACAGGAAAUUAUGAGUACCAUACACGUUUAAUUUCAUAAAAUAUUCAUAGCUCUAUAUUUCAAGUUACACACUAUAUUACCUACUGGAUCAACAGUCUUUUCAAAAGAGCACUCGACUAUAAAGUCGACUAAUAUCUGUCCUUUUAUGGUUGUUCUCGGGGCAAACUCCAUGCCAAAUUCAGCUAACUCGAUACUUCACUUCUUCACCCUUCCCGAAGUAUCAGAUUUAGAUAAAACUUCUUUUAUAAGCUUAUUAGUCAUGACGACAACUAGAUGAGCCUAGAAGUAGGGGCGUAGCUUACGAGUUGCAAAAAUUAGAGCAAAGAUAAAUUUUUCAAUUUUUGAAUACCUCAGCUCGUCGUUCUAGAGUACCUUACUGACGUAGUAAACUGGGAAUUGGCAAACGUCUUCUAUUCUAACUAGGACUACUGCAAUUGUUUCCUAUGAGGUAGCCAAGUACAAAUAGAGGGUCCCUCCCACUCGUGGUAACUUCAGAAGUGGUAGGGAUGUGAGGUAUGACUUAAGCUUUUUAAAGGUUGAUUGACACUCCUCAGUCCACAAAAAGGAGGUCAUCAUGGCUUUGAAGAAGGGAAGGCAUUUAUCUGCUAUCUUAGAGAUAAACCUGUUAAGCGCCACUAUUUUUCCUGUGAGGAACAAAAUAUCUAUGAUAGUCUGCCGAUGAGGCAUUUCCAAGAUAGCAUGAAUCUUUUUCAGGUUCACCUCUAUCCCCCUUUCUGAGAUCAUAAAGCUUAAAAACCUACCAGCUCGCGCACCAAAAGCACACUUCUCAAGGUUCAACUCCAUAUUGUGGGUCCUCAAAACUACGAACACCUCUGACAAGUUUCGCACGUGCUCUUCCAUGGUUGUACUUUUUACUAACAUAUCAUCGACAUAAAUUUCAAGACCAUUCCCUAUCUACUUCUUAAAAAUCUUGUUCACCAGUCUCAAAUAGGUUGCUUCGAUAUUCUUGAGGCCAAAAGGCAUAACCCGAUAGCAGAACAACCCAUCCUCAGUGAUGAAAGUUAUUUUCUCCUGGUCAUAUUGAUCCAACAAAAUUUGGUUAUAACCCUAAAAGGUGUCCAUUAAGCUCAUGAACUUGUGACCUGAAGAAGCGUUAACCAAACGGUCAAUCGAGCGUAAAGGGAAGUUGUCCUUAGUGCACGCUUUGUUGGGGUUGGUGGAAUCAAUACUCAUCCUCAAUUUGCCAUUUUUUUUGUUCACCAUAACCACAUUUGUGACCCAAUCUAGAUACUCAACUUCCCUGAUAAAACCUGCCGACAACAAUUUGGCUACCUCUUGCCUCACGGCUUCCAUCACCUGUGAAGCAAACUUUCUCUUUUUCUUCUUAACAAGCUUGGCUUCAGGAAGUACAUUUAGCCUAUAGACAAUUACCUUACGAGUCAAUCCCUGGCAUAUCUACUGCUGACCAGGCAAAAACAUCGGAGUCCACUUUCAAAAACUGAACUAAAGUGUCUUUUUCUUCUGGUAAUAAUAUUGAUGAAAUUUUAAUUUUCCUUUGUUCAUCAUCGUAAAAUAGCUGUAAAGUCUCUGUGUGCUCUACUACUUCAGGUUUCUUACUUCUCUCUUCAUCCAUCACAUUUAGUCUAUCUAAGUCUAAGGCUUGACUAACCAGCUUUGUGCUCUACGAACUCUUCCCCUCAGUUGCGGACUCUCAUGCCUGUUUCACAAACAACAUGUGACAUUGUCUCGUUGUUCGCUGGCUAGAUCGCUUGAACCCCAUAAUUGUCCUUAUCGAAAAUUUGAUCUUUAUACAAAAUGUCACCACUACUAUCUUUAUUGUUCUUAUAAUCGAGCACCCAAAAAUGGCAUUAUACGCCACAGGAUUGUCUACGAUAAAAAAAACUAGACAUAUUCUGUAGUCGUAUGCUCACUAUCUCCCAAGGUAACUGGCAAAGUGGUAGAACCAUUUACCUCAACUGGGUGGUUAGCAAAACCAUAUAGCGGACUAGCAUUGGACAAAGCCUGUUCCUUCAAGCCCUUUUUUUGAUAAGCUUCCUAGGUUAUAACCUCUAUCGCACUCCCACUAUCAACCAAUAUUCUUCUCACCUCAAAACCUAUGAUUGUUACAGAUAUUACCAUCGGGUCAUUCCUUUCUUCAUCACACAUGAACUCCUCAUCGUCAUUACCAAACUCAAUAUUCCAUUUUCCCUGUUGAUAUGCCUUUUAGGUGGAUUUACUAUCAUAACACUCAUCAUUUGGCUUUUUCUUUUCGCAUUAGAACUUGCUCAGACCUCAUCUAUGCCUACAAUAACAUGAAUAGUACCUUGAUCCACAAACUCAGCGAGCUCAUCAUUUCUCACUGUCUCUUCGAUAGCAUCUUUCAAAGUAAAAUAAUAUUCGAUUUUCUACACCACAUCAUUAUAGAAAGCACACCUAUCCCUAGAAUUUAACCUUUUGGAACUCUGCCUCAUAAGAGAUAGCUUAAAUAGGCUACCUAAACUCUUUACCUGGUUCAAUAUGUAUACAUGAGUAGCGUUCAAUGGAGUGUAGGCCUCAAACAUACCUUGAGAUAUAUACCUUCUUGUUUGCUUGGGUUGAGAUCCCUGAAGAGUCUUGGGAGAAUUACCCUAUACCUGCAUUCUCUGUUGUCUAUCAGCUCGGGCACGCAGAGCCUAGUUGGGUUACCCCUACCUACUGCGAGCUCUUUCUCUCUUUCUGAACUGUCUACUAUCUCCUUGAAAUGUGCCACGCACCGUUCUCUUAAUAUCUUCUGCUUCCGCGAACUUGUGAGCCCACUCAUACAAGUUCGCUAAAGUCUGAGGCUUGUUACCAGUAAGGAGUAUUGUACAUGUUCAUUUUGCACCCUAUGAUGAAGGCAUCGAUAGCCCAUUGGUCCUCAAGGUUCUUCGUAUUCAGUGUUGCUGCAUGAAAUCGCUUCACGUAAUCUUAGAGAGACUCUAUUUCUCUCUAUUUUACGAACAUUAAUCCCAUAGGUGUACUCAUGAUUGUUCUGUGAGCCUUGAACAUUCUUAGAAAUAUCUGACCCAAUUGGGACAAACUUCGGACUGAGCCUUAAAGAAAAGAUAAGUACCAAUCAUUCGCACUUCCCUUAAGCGUUGUGGAAAAAGAUUUACACUUCGUAGGGUCCAAGGCUUCCAUUACAUUCAUAUAAUCGUUAUAUUGCAUCAAGUAGGCUCGUAGGUCUCUCCUACCCUCGAACAUAAGACCUUAAAAUCACGCAGUAGACUUAUUGCUGCUACCUUCGGGGCCAAUGGAUUGUUAGAAUAGAAAAGCCAGUCCAUGUCCCUAGACUAAGGAGGCAAUGCCCUCACAUCUCGCCACAAUGCAUCCAUCUCAUUUUGCCAUUCCCUCACAUACAAGCUUGGGCCUUCAUCCUGCAUGGUCAUUUUAUCGUGAAAGUCAAAAUCAUCAGAUUUGAUACGGAAACCCGGAUCUAGACACAAGAGAAACACAAAUUAGAAAUAAAACGAGAAUAAAUAAAAUUAGUUAAAUAAUAAUAAUAAUAACAAAAGAAAAAAAAGGAUAGGUUUGCCCUAUGGAACCCUUGGUUAACUUGUAACCAAAAACGCCAAUGAUUGAGCGGCUCCCUACGAAACCCCUAAAAGAAGAACCUCUAGAAACACCGAUGAACGGGAAAGAAAUUUGAAUAAUUGUAACUCCGAAAUACCCUUUAAAGUAACAAACUCCAAACUAAUAGCAAGAGAAGAAUCACUCUACUCUCAAAAAUUUGCCUCACACAAAUUUGGAAGAAAACAAAUACUCCUUUUUAUCUCCCCCAAUGUGUAGAAAACAAGCCUAUUUAUAGGCAAAUUACAAGAGUAAUUGAAUCCUAAUAAAAACUCUUUAAAGAGUAAUUGAAUCCUAAUAAAACUCUUUAAAAUUAUCUAAGAAAAUAAAUAAAUAAUAACCUAACCAAUAAAAUUACUUAACUCAUAAAUGAUGUGUCCCAACCAAUGAGAAUUAAGUAAAUAAUAAUAAUAAGAUACAUAAAAGAUUAAUCCACCAAUUUAUGGGCUUUCACUAUUCCAAGAUUGGUCCAGUGAAUUGCAUUCCCGUAUUUGUCAAUGUCACGAACAUGAUGAAUUAAAUUUGUAGCAACAAAGUCUUGGACAAAAUCAUUCAUCUUUGAUUUUAAUUGUCGUGUCUUACUUCAAGUGAUUGGACCACUAAGAAAAACAACCCCUUGAGUGUCACCUCCUUGGCUCGUAUCAAGAUUGUACCUUUAUUUUAAGUUCUUCAUUCUGUUUCAAUAACUUCUGUUGAAAAGUUUGUUGUUGUUCAAACCAUGCAUUUUGUGCAGCCAUUUGUUCCCUCAUAAACUUCAUCUACUCUUAAAGAGCAAGGAAUUGUUGCGGUGAUGCUUAUUGGUUGGAAGGAAGUGGCAAUCCGUGACCAGAAGGAAGGUUUAAGUCGAAUGGGCUUGAAACUCUCAGGUGAGCCACAUUACCUAGAAUUUUCAACCGAUCAGCAAACUAGUCGACAAACAAGUCCGUUCCAGCAAGUUGGCUGCAAUAACUCAAGGCUCCAAGUUGUCCAAGUGAAAGAUCGAAAGGGAAAUUUUCAUUCGGGUAAGCCAUCAUAACUUUGGCAAUUUUUAUCAAACUGAAAAGAAAUUCAUUGGUUGAAAAUAUGUCCACGCUCAUCGCACCAAUUGUUGAAUUUUUUUUGUUGUGUCUCAUUGAAGGGGACAAUCAAAUAUUUAUACACAUGAUUAUUGUUCAUGGAAUUGACAUUCUUGGUAGGCUCUAUGCAUGUUGGACACGUGUAUUGUUCUGGACUGUUUGCUGGACUUCGUAGCCCUCACAUACGAACUCCUUGCACAUGUGAACUGGGAUUGCAAACUACCCUUGCGAGCCCCUUUAGCGAACCCCCACUACAAGACCUACACGCAUCCAACUGGUUAGGCCCAAUCGAGUCACAGGUAGGCAAUUUAUAUUUUAUCUAGGUUUUGGGUUGGUGAACACAAAUACAUAAUAAAAGUACAAGAGCUUAAUAUUUAAAUAUAAAAAUUUAGAGGUUAACUUUUUAAUUUUAAUAGUACAAGGAACUCAACAAAAAAAUUUCAAAAAAAAAAACCAUAGUGAAGAAAAAGAGACUUUUUCUGUCAGAUUAGGUUUCUCUUUCUCUCUCUCUUAGAGUCCUAUACUCUUAACUCUUAUCCUUUUUGCGGCUAGGGUUUUUCUUUCUACAGUACCUCUUCUAACUUUUUUUUUUAAUUUAUUAGAAGAUUGGUUUGGUUUCAUAAUAUAAAAAUCUAAUGGAAGUUUUGUAAGAGUAAGGGAUUUUGUGGUUAUUAUAAAAGAAAGAUUCUAAGGGGUUUGGAAGUGGUUAGCGUGGAUUGUUCAUUAAAAAAAAAGAAAUGGCUGGUUUGAACCCUUUUGAUUUGUUGGGGGAUGACGACACUGGGGAGCUAUCAUUGCUGAUCGCUGCUCAGCAAAAGGCCGUCGCAGCGGCCACUGCCACUGCUGCUGCUCCAAAGAAGGGCCCAGCAAAGCCUCAAGCUAAGACGCUGCCUGCAACUCAGGCUAAGCUUCCCUCCAAGCCUCUCCCUCCUGCUCAGGCUGGUAAGUUUUCUCUAUCAGAGUGACUCAUUAUUUUCUGCUCUCUGUAUUGGGUCUUGAGUUUACCCGAUUGUGUUAAGUUCAAGUUUCCUUUUCUUAAUGGUCGAACUCUGGGGGGGGGGUUUAGUGGGUUUAAGUUUAUUCUGCUUCGGUUUCGUUUCUUGUAAAGUGCAGUUGGACUCUGAUUGUUAAAGAGUAUUUGUUGUCGGUUAUUUACUUGGAAUAUAAUCAUUGAGAGUUUCUUAUCUGUAUAGACUUACUUCUUAUAGUGAACAGAGCAAAAGAUUCCGGAACGCAUAUUGGUUUGUUGCUGUUAUUUCUUUUCUAAAAUGAAAUCCAAUGCUGUCAAGUUGCACUCAAGCUACUAGAAUCCUUAUAUGUGGUAUAAAAGCUUAAGAUAUAUGGUCAUGAUAAUACACCUCUAAAAGAUAGAUCAAACUUUAAUCUCAUUCUCCUACAAAAAAAUGAAAUGUACAAUUUUUUGUUGGCCAAUGUGCAUGGUUUUUUUUUUUUUUGGAUCUCAUGUCUGUUGUUGAAUAAUCAAGCAUUGAGAAGUAGAGUGUUUGGUAGUGUUCUUCUCUUCUUAGUAAAGGUAAAAUUAAUGAAAAAUAAAAUAAAAAAUGAAUGAAACUAAAGAAAACUUCAAUCAAGCAAACUUCUAAUCCAAUGCAUCUUGCCAAGAGGUCUUGAGGCACUUUUGUUGUUUGAUGCUGAGGCACAGUGCCAAAGGUGCAUGCCUUAACUAUAGAAAUGAAAUCUGCAUUCUGUGGGGAACUUUUGUCUUUUAUAUCAUAUUCUCUGAAAGUGUCAAUUGGUGUUCCAUCAAAAAGGAGUUCUUUUUUACUCCUUUUCAAAGUGCUUAUGCAUUGGUAUGCAAUUUUUUUUUACUGAAGCUUGAUAGUUGUAGCUUUGAUAUCAUCUUGAUAGUUAUCACAGUUACUCGAAAUAUUUUUUUAUCUAAUAGUCAAUUAUAGUUUCUUUAUAGCUCUCUUGGGCUUAUCACUGAUGUCGUGUUCUUUUAAAGUGAGGGAGGCAAAGAAUGAAGGUGCUCGUGGCGGAGGCCGUGGUGGGCGAGGAUAUGGACGUGGUUGUGUUGGUAGCAGUGGAUACAGACGUGAUUUUGCAAAUGAUGAGAAUUCCUUCAGCAAUAGUGCUGUACCUGAAGAUGGAGAGAGUGGAAAACCCUCUGAAAGGCGUGGCUAUGGUGGUCCUCGACCUUACCGUGGUGGUCGCCGUGUCGGUUUCAGUAAUGGGGAAGAUGCAGAUGGGGAGCAACCUCGCAGGUUGUAUGAACGCCGUAGUGG
This 38835-nucleotide long non-coding RNA is filed under the name Gossypium barbadense (sea-island cotton). RNAcentral describes it as "long non-coding RNA (GBAR_LNC018693)". The record is from RNAcentral. Lineage: Eukaryota; Viridiplantae; Streptophyta; Magnoliopsida; Malvales; Malvaceae.